UGCAAAGUGAUCGCCGAGGGGAAUGGCUCUGCCGUGGAGCAUCAAAAGUACUACUGAUCUUGGUACCAGAUCAUACAUGUGCUUUUGGUGAUGGAUGGGUCGAUGCAGAGUACUGCUCCAAGACCACUUGGAAACUGCAGAACCCUGCAACAAGAGCAGAGGAAAUGGAAUCGAUGGUACCGAGUGGAAGGGAGGAAUGUUGAUAUCGAGGGAAGCGGGGAGCGGCACAUGGCUUCUGCCCUGAGAUCCUGACCUCUCACGUCCCAAUCUCAGCUUCCAGUGUAGCCCACGCAGAGGCCACCGAGAGCCAUCAGCCUUUUUUUUUUUUGCUUAUUUAAAUUUUAAACGUAGGCGCUCUAGAAGUAGCCUGAAAUGUUAUAGGCAUAGCUGAUGCUUGUUCUAAAUAUUCCGAAUAAAUAGCUGCUUCAAUCCUCUCUCUCUCCCUCUUGCCCUUGAAAGAGAUGACUUAAUUUGAGAGACUGAACAUUGAGGUGUUCUGAAUCUCUUGUGAAACAUGUGAAUGAAGAUAAGUGGUUUUUU
Nymphaea colorata (pocket water lily) is the source of this 540-nucleotide long non-coding RNA. RefSeq lists it as uncharacterized. NCBI's taxonomy places the organism in Eukaryota, Viridiplantae, Streptophyta, Magnoliopsida, Nymphaeales, Nymphaeaceae. The record is from RefSeq and is a predicted model, not a curated record. The transcript has 2 exons.